GACAGAUAAAACCUUCCAUCCAUACUCCAUGUGCUUCAACAUUAAUGUUCUUGUAGUUUCUUCUUUCGUCUAAAAACAGCUUUCCACACCUCCUCAAAACCACACUCAUACUCUUCUUCUUCUUCGCCGGAAAACCAUGUCGGUUUCGACAACGGCUGAGAUAGAUGAUUUUCAUCCACAUGAAGGAACAAAUAGCACCGCCUCAUAUCAUCAUCAUCGGUAUGAAUACACCAAUUCAAGCGAGAUCGAGGAAGAGAAUUCGAGCGAGCUGUUCGAGAUCAACCAUGGGGGUGAGCCCAUGGAAUCCAUCAAAGAAGAGGUAUUUUCCUUGGAUGUUGAGAGCCGAGGAGAGGAUUGUGUUUAUGUUGCAGUAGGGAAGAGCGAGUCAAGCAUGGAUGCACUUUCUUGGACGUUGAAGAACCUUGUUAAUGGCUAUUCCACUAUGGUUUAUCUCAUCCAUGUCUUCCCUGAGAUUCAUCACAUACCUUCUCCAUUGGGUAAGCUUCCAAAGAAUCAAGUGAGUCCUGCCCAGGUGGAGACUUACAUGGCCCAAGAAAGUGGCAAGAGAAGAGAACUCCUUCAAAAGUUCAUCCAUAUGUGUGCUUCAUCUAAGGUUAAGGUAGACACCAUACUUAUUGAGAGUGAUAUGGUUGCAAAGGCUAUCAUGGACCUCAUACCCAUUUUCAAUAUCAGGAAGCUAGUGCUUGGAACCACCAAGUCCAGCCUAAGGUAAAAACCAAACUCAAUUUUUUAAAAAUUAAUUUUUAUUACUUGCAAAUUUAUUUUCCAUCAUAAAACUUUUCCAGGAAACUGAGGGCCAGAAAAGGAAGUGGAAUAGUCGAUCAAAUACUUGCGAAUGCAUCGGAAUUUUGUGAAAUCAAGAUCAUAUGUGAAGGAAAGGAAGUGGCUGAUAAUCAGAUGAUGAUCACUGGAUCACCCUCAGCAUCACCACGUCCUACUGGUGAUGCAAAUGCCAGUACACUGCAAUUGCAAGAUCAACCCAACGCUAAUAAUGAUUCAUUUUCAUGUAUGUGUUUCAAAUCCCCUCGAGUCAUGUAAUUUCUAAAUUAUUUACUGUUAUUUUAUGAUCUCUGAUUAGUAAUUGAUGAGUCAAUUAAUGGACGAUUUCUUUUGUGUAAAUUAAAAUUGAACAAUAUAAUUUCACAUUGAAAAUGUUAAAACUCUUUAUAUAUUUAAUUUUGG
RNAcentral lists this unclassified non-coding RNA (1203 nucleotides) under Hevea brasiliensis (rubber tree). The record is from RNAcentral. Lineage: Eukaryota; Viridiplantae; Streptophyta; Magnoliopsida; Malpighiales; Euphorbiaceae.